CAAAAACAUGUCCUUUUGUGUGUUAUUUAAGGUUUGACCUGCCCAAUGAGGAGUUUAAUGGCCGCGGUAUUUUAACUGUGCUAAGGUAGCAUAAUCAUUUGUCUUUUAAUUGGAGGCUGGAAUGAAUGGUUGGACGAAGCAUUUACUUUCUUUAAUUCAUAGAAUGAAUUUAAUUUUUUAGUUAAAAAGCUAAAAUUCUUUUAAGGGACGAGAAGACCCUAUAGAUCUUCAUAUUUAGGAAAGUUAUAUAUUUUAGUUAUUGGUAUAUUUUAAUUUUUUCAUGUAUUGGGUUGGGGCGACUGGGGAAUUUCGUUAACUUCUCUUUGUUUAUUCAUUAAUUGAUGUAUCUAUGAUCCAACUAUUGUUGAUUAAAAGUUUAAGUUACCUUAGGGAUAACAGCGUAAUUUUUUCGGAGAGUUCAUAUCGAUGAUAAAGUUUGCGACCUCGAUGUUGGAUUAAAAUAAGUAAUAGGUGUAGCAGUCUAUUAACUAGGUCUGUUCGACCUUUAAAUUUUUACAUGAUCUGAGUUCA
Molecule: ribosomal RNA, 531 nt
Filed under: Staliastes sp. UCR ENT 00052231
Lineage: Eukaryota; Metazoa; Arthropoda; Insecta; Hemiptera; Reduviidae
Description: partial 16S ribosomal RNA
Rfam family: Bacterial large subunit ribosomal RNA
Source: RNAcentral